CGGAAAACUCGCUCGUGCCAUCGU
This 24-nucleotide microRNA is filed under the name Schmidtea mediterranea. Its description in RNAcentral is "sme-miR-2147c". The record is from miRBase by way of RNAcentral. Lineage: Eukaryota; Metazoa; Platyhelminthes; Tricladida; Dugesiidae.